GGGUUUGCGACCCAGAGGUUAAUUUCAGCAAAUGUCCCUGCCCUCUUUGCCGUAAGGACCAAUGGAAAGCGGAAUUUGAGAAGGAGGCCGAUUCUCAGAGGGCCUGAGAUAUUUUUGUGCAGAGUUGAGACCAGCUGGAUCCUGGGCUGCAGACCAUAUGCCAUUUACACCAGAAACCUCUUUCCCCUCUGGUCCUGCUUACAAUUACUCCCAUCUUCUGAUUUCCUGGAUUUUGGCACCUCAGUACAAUUUUUACAUCUGCUUCUUAACUGGGUUGGUGACCCUCCCUUUCCAAGCUUCUUGUACAUUGACUCUGCACACACUUCUGGGAUCUGUUCAUUUCUUUGGAUUUGGUGACAUCUAUCCCCAUCUCUUAACCUACUAUCGUUCCAGUUUUUGUACCGAUACAAUGACUAAACAGACUUGCCCAUCACCACUGAAUCACAGCCAAACAAAGGGUAGUAAUGAUUAUUUUGUAAUACCACAGUCUAUGUAUAGUCCUUGAAUCAGAGGUGGGAAGAAACAAGAAUUUUGAUGUGCUUGGUGCUCUUGCCCAAGCACUGAAGUACUUUACAAGGGAACAAAGGUUUGUGCUUUUGAAAUGACCUCACAGUGGAUCUAACAAUGUACCAGUUAAAUCUUAUUCCAGAAUGCAAUUAUUUCAUUAUUAAAAUGAAGCACAGAGAGUUAGCUGCUGUUAGCAGCUGAAAGAAUAGCAUCACUGAUUUGGAGAACUUAAGAGAAUUCUUCAGACAUCCACCAAAAAAUCAGAAGGCCAGCACCGUGAGCAAUGAGGUCACGAUCUUUAAGAUAAGAAAAUCUAUCAAUUCCAAAUGUCCACAUUAGUCAUGCAUAAAGGCACCAACGUUUCACAGAAAACAAACAAAUCUAUCCCAACGAACCCUUGCUGUUUAUCACAUUCACCAGAGAGGCUAGAAAAAGUCGAGUUAUGUAGAAAUCUAUUUGAUGAGCCUCGAAAUGACUGUGAACUCAACACCUUGUCUAAACCCUUAUGACAGACCCUGAACCAUGGGCACCCAGCUGGACAGAGCCCUGUUGUCCAGAACACAAAUCGAUUCCAUAUUGUAUGACAUUCCGUCUGGUGAUUUUUUGGAUCACCUCCCAAGGAAGCUACUUGGACUGAAAGCCUAGUCCCACUGUCAAAACCCUGGUGAAAAGAAAUGUAGACACCCACCCCAGAGACUCUUCCAGCAGCGCCAUAGCAAAAUUCGUUAAAGCUUUAUUACCAUUAAUUGUAGGAGAGAGGGGACCUUGACCACUGUCCCAGAGCCUUGGAUAAAGUACCAACUCCAUCCCCAACGUGGUCUGGGAAGAUACCCGAAACAAAACAGGACUGGAAAUGCCAAGUGCACAUUUCACAAGUGAGUCAAGACACAAAAUGACAGGCACUCACACUGCACUGGGGAAGAUAGAUAAUAACCAGUAUCCAGGGCUAUCAUCACACACUGACUUGAGUCUAGCACUGAACACUGUGCUAAAAGUUGUACGUACAUCAUGGAACAGAACCUUUUUAACAACCUGCAAGGAACGUACUACUAUCUCAAUUAACAAAAGAGAAGACUGAGGUCAAAAGAAUUUGAGUAAUUUAUCUGUCAUCACCCAGAUACUAAAUAGUAGAGCUGA
Molecule: long non-coding RNA, 1644 nt
Organism: Leopardus geoffroyi (Geoffroy's cat)
Lineage: Eukaryota; Metazoa; Chordata; Mammalia; Carnivora; Felidae
Exons: 9
Source: RefSeq, a predicted model, not a curated record